This 791-nucleotide ribosomal RNA is filed under the name uncultured bacterium. Its description in RNAcentral is "bacterial SSU rRNA". It matches the Rfam family "Bacterial small subunit ribosomal RNA", at positions 99 to 906 of the family's 1533-position model. The record is from RNAcentral.
CGGACGGCUGAGUAACGCGUGGGUAACCUACCCGUGAGUGGGGAAUAACCCUCCGAAAGGAGGGCUAAUACCGCAUACGACCACGAGUCUGCGGAUUCGUGAGGAAAGUCGCAAGACGCUCGCGGAGGGGCCCGCGUCCGAUUAGCUAGUUGGUGAGGUAACGGCCCACCAAGGCGUCGAUCGGUAGCUGGUCUGAGAGGAUGAUCAGCCAGACUGGGACUGUGACACGGCCCAGACUCCUACGGGAGGCAGCAGUUAGGAAUCUUGGGCAAUGGGCGAAAGCCUGACCCAGCAACGCCGCGUGGGUGACGAAGGCCUUCGGGUCGUAAAGCCCUUUUCCACGGGAAGAUGAUGACGGUACCGUGGGAAUAAGCCCCGGCUAACUACGUGCCAGCAGCCGCGGUAAUACGUAGGGGGCGAGCGUUGUCCGGAUUUAUUGGGCGUAAAACGCUUGUAGGUGGCUACGUCAAGUCGGACGUGAAAUCUCCCGGCUUAACUGGGAGGGGUCGCUCGAUACUGGCGAGCUCGAGGCAGGUAGGGGGAAGCGGAAUUCCCGGUGUAGUGGUGGAAUGCGUAGAUAUCGGGAGGAACACCAGUGGCGAAGGCGGCUUCCUGGACCUGUUCUGACACUGAGGAGCGAAAGCGUGGGGAGCGAUCCGGAUUAGAUACCCGGGUAGUCCACGCCGUAAACGGUGAGCACUAGGUGUCGGGGGUAUCGACCCCUCCGGUGCCGCAGCUAACGCAUUAAGUGCUCUGCCUGGGGAGUACGGCCGCAAGACUAAAACUCAAAG